This 6353-nucleotide long non-coding RNA is filed under the name Lactuca sativa (garden lettuce). RNAcentral's name for it is "long non-coding RNA (LSAT_LNC008702)". The record is from RNAcentral. Lineage: Eukaryota; Viridiplantae; Streptophyta; Magnoliopsida; Asterales; Asteraceae.
GAAUUACAUACCUUGUUGUUGUAAGUGUUCCUUGAAACCUUGUGAGCCUAGCACCCCAAGUGUGAUGCCUCAAAUGCUUCACACAACAUCAAAUGCUAUGGAUUAAACUUGGAGAGAAUGUAUAACACACUAAAAUUGGCUCUAACCCUCAAGUAUGCUUGUGUAACCGAUUUUGGGAGAAACAUAAGCUUUAUAUAGUGUUGACACAUCUAGGGUUACACCAUGUAAACCCUAAUGUGUCAUGACUCUUCAUUUCCAUGACCCAUGGGUUUGUAACUCCCAUGGAGCCUCCAUGGAGCAUCCAAUGGGUCCAACCCAACUUGAUUAUCCAUGGAGCCUCUUAGCCCACUAUAUAAGUUAUGGAUGAUUUACAUAAUCAACCCAUAUAUUUAAUUAGUUAUCUUUUGAUCACUUAAUUAAUUCUAAAAUUAAUUCUUGAUCAAACUAAUUAAAUAAUAUUAUUAAUAUAUUAGAGCUUAUAAUAUAUUAAUAAACCAUAUGUGUUAAUUCUCUCAUUUAGUCUAUCCAAUUGCAUGGUGCCAUGCAACCCAAAUGGACCAUGCCGGGUCGGGUCAAGUACAAGCCCGAAAUAGUUAUGGACUUAGACACCUUAUCCAACAGUCUCCCACUUGGAUAAGUCUAAUAACUAUAUCUCUAGUACUUCAGGAACCGACCGGCAAUCGUAGCUCUUUCAAGGUCUCUCGGAACUGAGAAGAUGAUGGUACGCCAUUUAAGAUAAGUGAUCAUAUAAUCCUCCGUUCUAGAUAUCAGCCGGACAAAUACAUGGAACAUUGUCUUGCUUAUUGUCCAGCAUUUGUUUCCCGAUUUCCGAUUUGUUUGACAUAGAACUUAAUUGAACACAUCAACUUAGUUCUGACCGGGCCCGGUACAUGGGUCAAAACAAAAUCAUCGAGGGGCCCAGAUAUCAGCUUCUAAUCCAAGAAGGAACAGAUAAACUUCGACUCAUAUGUUUGUUCUACCACUCAUUGAAUUACACACAAAAGUACGUUUUAUAACAUCGAGUUACCAAUGCGGUUUCGUACAGUCAAUGCAUAACCAACUUGUAAGUAACAAAUCAUAUCUCUAGGUUUGAAGACUUAUAUGAUAUUACCGUCUCACGAUCACUCGAGAUAGAAUUCCAUGAAGUGAUUCCAGUGAGCGUGGGUUGAGUCCAAUGCUCAGAACUUAUGAGCACUCAUGAUUGUUGUAGCCUUGUCCAACACCUUGGACCUCUACAACCCAUCAUGACAGUCUUGAUUCAUACCUACUUCCGACAUAUGACCGACUGUGGAGGUUUGAAUAAUAUGUUACACCAAACAAAAUUAUUCUGGAAGUCAAAACAUGCAAAAGAAAUAUAGUAAACGAUUGACAAGAGAUAGCAACACUUUACUCAUAAAUAAAACACCUUUUAUUCAUCAUCAAAUGUCAAUUACACUUUACAAAUUUCUGGGUUAUCUAACUACUAAAACUUAUAUCAUCCUUCAGCCCUAUGCUCCGAGCAUGCUGGAGAUGCUUAACCCUACUCAGUCCCUUCGUGAGGGGAUCUGCUGGGUUCUCAUCCGAUGAUACCCUCUUUGCCACGAGGAGUCCUUCUUCGAUCCGAUGUCUGAUGAAAUGGUAUUUUCUGUCGAUGUGUCUGGAUCUCCCGUGAUCCCUUGGUUCCUUGGCUAAGGCAACAGCACUUUCACUAUCACAGAAAAUUUCCAUUGGCUCUUUAAUAGCUGGUACAACUCCAAGGUCUCCAAUGAAGUUCUUCAGCCAUAUCGCCUCCUUUGCUGCUUCGCUAGCUGCAAUAUACUCUGAUUCACAAGUAGAAUCUGCCACUGUCUCUUGCUUGGAACUUUUCCAAGAAAUUGCUCCUCCGUUUAAGGUAAAGACCCAGCCCGACUGAGAGCGGAAAUUAUCCCUAUCAGUCUGGAAGCUAGCAUCACUAUACCCUACAACUCUCAAGUCAUCACUCCCACCGAGGGUAAGGACCCAGUCCUUAGUCCUCCGCAGGUACUUGAGAAUGUUCUUUACCACUGUCCAGUGAGCCUUACCAGGAUUCCCCUGAUACCUGCUAACCAUGCUUAAAGCAAAGGUUACAUCAGGACGAGUACAGGUUAUAGCAUACAUGAUCGAGCCUACUGCCGAAGCAUAAGGUAUCCGACUCAUUUCUGCUAUCUCAUUCUCAGUACUCGGGCUCUGAGUCUUACUCAGUCUAGUGUUACUCUGGAUGGGUAACUCUCCUUUCUUGGAAUCUUGCAUGCUGAAUCUCUUCAGCACCUUAUCCAAGUAGGUACUCUGACUAAGUCCAAUUAGUCUUUUACUCCGAUCUCUCAAGAUNCCCUAGAAUAUAGGCAGCUUCUCCUAGGUCCUUCAUAGCAAAACACUUCCCAAGCCAGGACUUAACUUCCUGCAGAGUUGGGAUGUCAUUUCCUAUGAGUAGUAUGUCAUCCACAUACAGUACCAAAAAGCUAACUAUACUCCCACUAGCCUUGACAUAUACACAAGAUUCAUCUUCACUCCUAGAGAAGCCAAACUCUUUGACUUUCUCAUCAAAGCAAAGAUUCCAUCUGCGAGGUGCUUGCUUUAAUCCAUAGAUGGAUUUCUCAAGCUUACACACUCUAUUAGGGUACUCUGUGCUGACAAAACCCUCUGGCUGAUUCAUGUAAUCAUCCUCAGCCAACUUUCCAUUAAGGAAAGCGGUUUUGACAUCCAUUUGCCAUAUUUCAUAAUCAUGAAAUGCAGCUAUGGCUAACAAUACCCUAAUAGACUUAAUCUUGGCUACUGGAGAAAAGGUCUCAUCAUAAUCCACUCCAGGAGUUUGAGAGAAGCCCUUUGCUACCAGUCGAGCCUUAUAAGUGUGUACAUUACCAUCCAUGUCGGUCUUCUUCUUGAAGAUCCAUUUGCACCCUAUAGUCUUACGACCUGGUACAUUCUCAACCAAGUCCCAGACCUGAUUGUCAUACAUGGAUUGUAUCUCGCUAUCCAUUGCCUCUUUCCAUUUAGCAGACUCAGGGCCUGCCAUGGCUUCCGCAUAGCUGUUAGGUUCAUCUAGACCUAUUAGUGUCUCAUCACUAAUAAGUGUCUCACCUUCCGCAGUAAUAUGAAAGCCAUAGUAAUGCUCGAGUAAAUUCCUAACCCUUGUGGAACGCCUCAGAGGUACAACUGGAGGUAUAGUCGGAUCAACAGGAGGUUCCUCUUCAAGUUGAUUGCUAGGGUUUGAGGUUCCUUCACCACUUGACUCUUGAAGUUCUACAAGGUCAAUUAGCCUCCCACUGUCUCCUUGGCUUAUAAAUUCUCUCUCUCGAAAGAUAGCCCUCCUUGCUACAAAGACCACAUUCUCACUAGGUCUGUAGAAGAGGUAACCAAAGGAUUUUUGUGGGUAGCCGAUGGAAAUACACUUCUCGCUUCGAGGUUCGAGCUUGUCAUGAGUCUCGCGUCUCACGAAAGCCUCGCAACCCCAAACCUUGAUGUGGGCUAGACUAGGAACUUUUCCAGUCCACAUCUCGUGAGGUGUUUUGGCAACCUUCUUUGUAGGGACCAGAUUAAGGAUAUGGGUGACAGUCUCUAAGGCAUACCCCCAAAAUGAGAUUGGUAGCAUAGCUCGACUCAUCAUGGAACGAACCAUGUCCAACAAGGUUCGAUUACGCCUCUCAGCUACACCAUUCAACUGUGGUGUCCUGGGAGGUGUCAAUUGUGAGACAAUCCCACAUUCCCUAAGAUAGUCGAGGAACUCUGAACUAAGAUACUCACCACCUCGAUCGGAUCGAAGCAUCUUAAUGUUCCUGCCCAAUUGAUUCUCGACUUCCUGUUUAAAUUCCUUAAACCUCUCGAAAGUCUCUGACUUAUGCUUGAUCAAGUAGACAUAUCCAUAUCUACUGUAAUCAUCAGUAAAAGUCAAAUAAUAACGAUUAGCAUCCCUUGUGGCAUGUUUGAAUGGUCCACACACAUCCGUGUGUAUAAGGUCCAACAAACCUUCACCCCUCUCACAAGAACCUGUGAAGGGUGACUUUGUCAUUUUUCCAAGUAAGCAUGAUUCGCAACUAUCAUCUGACUUUAGGUCAAAUGACUCCAAGACUCCAUCCUUUUGGAGUUGGCCUAUGCGUUUCUUGCUUAUAUGUCCAAGACGACAAUGCCAUAAUGAUGCUUUAUCCAAGUUAUUAUUAUUAGUAGAAUCAAUACACAAUACAUUAUUUCCUAAGUUAUCUACAACAGACACAGCUUCAUACACACCAUCACAAGGUAAUGCUUUAAAAUAAAACACAUUAUUAAAGAAAGCAUUUAUUCCACCAGUUUCAUUAUCAAAAGAAAAGGUAAAACCUUGUUUAUACAAAGCAUGAAAGGAAAUAACAUUUCUUGCCAUUUCUGGCGAAUAACAACAUUUAUUCAAAUCUAAAGUAAAUCCACUACUAAGCAACAAAGUAUAAACUCCAAUCUUGGUGACAGGUGAAACUUUCCUAUUCCCCAUGAUCAAGUUUAUCUUUCCAUGCUCCACAUUCUCACUUCUUCUUAGUCCCUGCAAUUCAGAACAAAUAUGAAUACCGCAACCGGUAUCAAGGACCCAAGAGUUAGAAUAGAGUGAAUUAUUAGAUGAGAUAGUGUAAAUACCUGCAUGGUUGGGUUUAACUUUCCCAUCCUUCAAAUCUUGCUGGUACUUUGGGCAGUUACGCUUCCAGUGCGCCUUUUCGUGGCAGUAGAAGCAUUCAGCCUCUUUGGGAUCAGAAGAAGGUGUAACGAAACCUUUCUUGGUUCCGCUAGAAGAGGAGCCAUCAAGGGUCUUACCCUUGGUACCCUUCGAAGGGUUCUUUCUCUUCUUCCCUCUACCUUUCCCGAUUGCCAGGACAGGUGCUGAGUUUGGAGUAGUAGCAGGAGUGGUCACAACCGACUUACCUUUAAGACCUGAUUCUGCGGUCUUUAGGAGUCCCUGAAGUUUGCUAAGUGUAACUUCCUCCUUAUUCAUGUGGUAUGUCAUGCGGAAUUGAUCAUAACACGAAGGUAAGGAGUGCAAAAUAAUAUCUAUUGCUAACUCCUCAGGGAAGUUCACAUUCAACUUCAUCAAACGAUCCACAUACCUUUGCAUUUUCUGCAUGUGUCUUGUGAUGGGUUCACCAUCUUUCAUUCGGGUUGUGAUCAUAGAGGAGAUGAUUUCAUAUCGCUCUUGACGAGCACUCUGAUGGUAGCAGUCCAUCAAAGGGUUGGAACUAAAGUUUUUAAUAUACAUAUAUACAUAAUUAUUAAAUCAUAAUAAUAUAAGUAUUAAAUCAUAUAUAUAUAAUUAUUAAAUCAUAAUAAUAUAAGUAUAAGGGUAGAAUUUUAACUUUUAAAAAUCUAAGGGUUGGAACUAAAGUUUUUAAUAUGACUUUACUUGUUCCAAAACUUGAGGGCAAGUUUUGUAAACUUUCAAAAUUUUUCAUUUCUUAUAACUUAUGAAUUUAAUUGAGUAUUAAAAUGAAGACUCUUCAUUUUGCUAACUCUUGUGUUCUUUUAAUGGUUUUUUAUUAAAGUGUGACCUUUGGUUUUCCAUAACUUGAAGACAAGUUAUGGACUCCAUUAAAACACAUAAUGACUGUGAAUUAAACUACCAAGUAGGUUACACACAAUUCCUAUGAUUAUCUAAUCUUCAUAAGUUCAAGAACAUGAAUAUGAACAUUUNUACACUUAAAACUUUGUAAUUUUGAUAACUAGUUGUUGUAAAUGGAUUAGCAAAGACAUUACACCAUCUAAAACAAGUUUUCAAGUACCAAAACAGUUUAGGGUAAUGUUUCUAGUCCAUUUCCAGCAACUAAAGUCGAAAAUCUGCACUCUGUUGCUCCUACUCGCCGAGUGCAUGAACCUACUCGGCGAGUAGGUUGAAGAUACAAGUGAACUCGGCGAGUCCCCCCAUGGACUCGGCGAGUUCAUCAGCCAGACAACAAGCUUUUCGACUUUGUUCAACUAUUUAGCACAAAUAACAAACAAACAAACCAGGCUCUGAUACCACUGAUAGGUUUUGAGCAUUCUAACACUUCCUAAGUGUACAUGCAACCCUAAUAACCUUGGAUCUAUGUUUGUCUAAUUAUCAUGCAAAGUUGAAUUCCAAGGUUAUGAUCCUAUCUAGCAUACAUGGGGAACAAUUUUAACUUGAAUGAAAGAUAGAACUACAUACCUUGUUGUUGAUUUUGAUCCUUGAAACCUUGUGAGCCUAGCACCCCAAGUGUGAUGCCUCAAAUGCUUCACACAACACCAAAUGCUAUGGAGUAAACUUGGAGAGAAUUUAUAACACACUAAAAUCGGCUAUAACCCUCAAGUAUGCUUGUGUAACUGAUUUUGGGAGAAACAUAAGCUUUAUAUAGUGUUGACACAUCUAGGGUUACACCAUGUAAACCCUA